UACGGGGGGGGCAAGCGUUGUUCGGAAUUACUGGGCGUAAAGGGCUCGUAGGUGGCCAACUAAGUCGGACGUGAAAUCCCUCAGCUUAACUGGGGAACUGCGUCCGAUACUGGAUGGCUUGAGUUUGGGAGAGGGACGCGGAAUUCCAGGUGUAGCGGUGAAAUGCGUAGAUAUCUGGAGGAACACCGGUGGCGAAGGCGGCGUCCUGGACCAACACUGACACUGAGGAGCGAAAGCCAGGGGAGCGAACGGG
Molecule: ribosomal RNA, 253 nt
Filed under: uncultured bacterium
Lineage: Bacteria
Description: partial 16S ribosomal RNA
Rfam family: Bacterial small subunit ribosomal RNA
Source: RNAcentral